RNAcentral lists this ribosomal RNA (253 nucleotides) under uncultured bacterium. RNAcentral's name for it is "partial 16S ribosomal RNA". It matches the Rfam family "Bacterial small subunit ribosomal RNA", at positions 524 to 776 of the family's 1533-position model. The record is from RNAcentral.
UACGUAGGGGGCAAGCGUUGUCCGGAAUCAUUGGGCGUAAAGAGCGUGUAGGCGGCCUGAUAAGUCGGUUGUGAAAGUCAAGGGCUCAACCCUUGAAUGCCGGCCGAUACUGUCAGGCUAGAGUCCGGAAGAGGCGAGUGGAAUUCCUGGUGUAGCGGUGAAAUGCGCAGAUAUCAGGAGGAACACCAAUGGCGAAGGCAGCUCGCUGGGACGGUACUGACGCUGAGACGCGAAAGCGUGGGGAGCAAACAGG